This 5821-nucleotide long non-coding RNA is filed under the name Podarcis lilfordi (Lilford's wall lizard). Lineage: Eukaryota; Metazoa; Chordata; Lepidosauria; Squamata; Lacertidae. The record is from RNAcentral.
CUCAGGGCGGCUAACAACAAUAAAAUAAGACAACAUUUUGCACAACAGUAGCACAUCCACCUUGUCUGCCUCCCUAGUGAAGCCUUGUAGUUGGACGUAGUUCCUUAUUCGGCAGAACCACUGCAGCCAUUCUGCAGGAUGGCUCAUAUUGAAGUCCGGUGGUGGUCGACUAUGACUGGUGGCCAUCCUCAGACCUGGAGCAGUCGCUUGUGCGAUUGUGGGUAGUUGUGAAGAUGCGGCAGGUGCGGUCUCGUUUCCGGGACUAUUUGCUAAGUCCAGCAUGGCGGUGAGGUUGCGCUUACUGCGAGGCGGCAGGUGGCGGUGCUGUGGUGUGGUCUUGUGCCUCUGGCAGCCGGCAGGAGCUCAUGUUUCCCAUCCUCGUUGCCAAUGUUAAAUGUUCGGAAGAAGUCAGAAGCCCAAGGCAGUGUAAGUUCCUCAACUACGUUUAUUUAACAUUUGUCAGUGACAACAGCUCACUCAUAGGAAAACAAGAACCGAACUGACUGGACAAUACAAUAAUAUACCGAGCAAGAACUGACUGUUGACAGUUGACAGUUGACAGUUGACAGUUGAAAGUGCAUGCGCUUACUUGCCAUUAGAACGUUUGUCUACCAAUGCUUAUAUGAUUGGUUAGAACGCGCCUUGUAACAUAAAAUGUGUUAAACCCAGUAAAAAUGGUUGCAACAUGUUUUGUCUUGGGGAGUCUUAAUGUUCACCCACCCAGUAAUUUGAAAUCUGAAAUAGAAAGUUGCACAUAUUAAGCCAGUCAUAAAUUGCUUGCUUUGUCCCAGGAGCAUCGACUGCCCACUUUGCUGUUCUGGCUUUGCUGUUUCCAAUCUUCAUUUCUUGCAUCAAGGAAAUCGGUUACACAAGCCCUGUGUCCACGGGAGCAAACUACCAGGCCUCCAGCAUCUGCUUAGUCCUCAACAAUGCACAAUGCCUUUUGAUUCGAAAGCAGAACAGAGCUCAAGUCGGAGGAGAUAUUUUGGCAGUGAGCCCAAAGCCUUGAUGUGCCAGCUGCCUCCACACUCUGGGGAUGCACCUGUAUAACUUCUCAAAAAAGUACAAACUUUUAAUGGCUCCCAACUUGGGCUAAUUAACCAGCUGCCCUCCCAGGUAGGAGGGGGUGAUGUAGAAAGCUCUCCCUCGGCGUUUAUUUACAUGCUUAGGCUGAGAAAUGGUUGGAGACUCCUCUUUAAUCGAUCCCUAAGCAAGCUGCUACAAUUAAAGCUCAUUAACUACAGUUCUCCCCCAGGCCUGGUCCCCUUUGGAAAGAUGUGGUUAUUACUGAGAUAGCAAAGAAGAAAAGGCCUCUGGGGUCUGUUAGCCAGCGAAAUUAUGCCAUCCAGCCUGCCCCAAGGGAUGGUUGAGGGCAAGACACAGAAUAUGCCUGGACACGGAUACACUAUGAAAAGCAAAGAGAUCUGCAAAAGUAUUGUGGAAGAAGGAAUGGACAACAAAUUGGAGGAUAAACAAAAGGCUUCCAUUUGUGCUCCAGGAAGUUUUCCACUGGUAUUUGAUCUUCUUAUACUAUAGAUAGCAUAUUUUAUAUUGCUCUAUGAACUGGUGAGAAAGGCACUCGCAUGCAUUCUUGAAAUCCUUAAAAUGCUUUAUAUAAGCCAGUCUUCUUAUUACCCAAGCAUCAGAGGUGGGGCAGAUAGUGCUUUGUCAUAAAGCCACUGAGUGAAUUUGUGGCUAGCUUGAGAGGACCCAGGAACAUCCCAAUUCAUAACUCAGAAACUAUGAGACACCUGCUCACAACUGUCAUCAUGGCACUGAUGCUCUGUUCCCAAUUGGUGGUCUACGGACCCCAGGGGGUCUGCAGCGCCAAUCAUAAAUCCUACAAAACCUGCCUUAAAGGCUUGUUUUGUGUAGGAAUAGAGUAGGCCUGUGGCAUGGAUUUGAGAACUUAGGAAUUUACCAUCUCCAAAGACUGGCCCAGACUGACCAGGUAAUGCAAUCAGUGACCAUUAUCAGCUGUCUUGUCAGGCAGGACACUCUUGUUUGUUGUAAUUUCUGCUGUAGACUGCCUCUUUGUACUAUGCUUUGGGGUGGUCUUUGGCUAAGGGGCGGGGCAAUUUCUAAAGUCUUUAAAAGCUCUGGCACACCUCCUUGCAAGGGUAGAGGGGGACUCUGUUGCAACAGAAAAAUAAAGACCACCUAUGCUUUCACUAGGGACGCGGGUGGCACUAUGUGUUAAACCACAGAGCCUAGGACUUGCUGAUCAGAAGAUGGGCGGUUCGAAUCCCCGCAAUGGGGUGAGCUCCCGUUGCUCGGUCCCUGCUCCUGCCAACCUAGCAGUUCGAAAGCACGUCAAAGUGCAAGUAGAUAAAUAGGUACUGCUCCAGUGGGAAGGUAUACAGCGUUUCCGUGCACUGCUCUGGUUCGCCAGAAGCGGCUUAGUCAUGCUGACCACAUGACCCAGAAGCUGUAUGCCAGCUCCCUCGGCCAAUAAAGCGAGAUGAGCACCGCAACCCCAGAGUCGGCCAUGACUGAACCUAAUGGUCAGGGGUCCUUUACCUUUAUGCUUUCACUAGAUCCUGCCUCCACUCAAUUUUCUCUGACUGAAAGCACACUUGUGGGGGGACGGGGACAGGACACUGAAUUCCUUGAUGGAGAGUUGGGCUGUAAAAGCCAACCCCAAUUUUUUACUAUAACAGUGUGCAACCUCUGGAUAGCGAGUGGAUUAACUAACUUGCCAUUCUUCCAGAAGAAGAAUGCUGUGCAAUAUUAAAAUGUAGCACACUCCUACACCUACAAAAAUAUGUGGGGUUUUUUUGUGGCUUUGCAUUUCCUGGGGUCACCACCAUGACAAGAAGUUCAUUCAGCCCUGGUUGCAAUAGGUCUGGAAGAAUGGGCUGUGGCGAGACGGUGACCAACAAGCUAUGGCUCCCCCUGGUGGGGGAUGAAAGGAACUUUUACAAAGCCGUCUUGAUGGUGAUUCUAGACUGGAGCAGAGCUGGCAAAACCCUUCUAGGCUUGUGACGCCUUUUGCAAACCAGAUAAACUAUUACGGGCAUCACACAAACCCAGCUACCAAGCCUAAUCUCAGCAGGGGUAGGGGACCCUGGGGAAAACCUCUGCAGGCACAUAUACAGGUGACCCCUACAUUGAAGGCAGGAAUUUCCCUUAAAUUACCUCUGUCCGCCCCUGAUUAGAGAAUAAAGGUAAAGGGACCCUUGACCAUUAGGUCAAGUCGUGGACAACUCUGGGGUUGUGGCGCUCAUCUCACUUUACUGGCCAAGGGAGCCGGCAUACAGCUUCUGGGUCAUGUAGCCAGCAUGACUAAGCCCCUACUGGCGAACCAGAGCAGUGCACGGAAAUGCUGUUUACCUUCCCGCCGGAGCGGUACCUAUUUAUCUAUUUGCGCUGUGAUGUGCUUUCGAACAGCUAGGUUGGCAGGAGCAGGGACUGAGCAACGGGAGCUCACCCCGUUGCGGGGAUUUGAACCGCCAACCUUCUGAUCAGCAAGCCCUAGGCUCUGUGGUUUAGACCACAGACCACCUGCAUCCAGAUUAAAAGAAUAGGUUGUACUUAAACUGGUAAUGAACUGAGCAUAGCCCAUAAUCUUAAGAGGAAAAGAAAUACAACACAAGCACUGGAGAGCACCAUCACACAUUGGACGAGCUAUAGGUUAAUAGGGCUAUCCCUUGCCAAGUGAGGAUUGGCUUUACUGGGACCCAGUAUCAGGAAUUACUGGCUACUGGGACAAAAUACCUCCUGAGAUAUGUGCAAACCCAGUACCCACCUACACGCAAUGUCUGGCCUCUGUAAUUGCCACCAAGGGUUUUGCCACCAAGUACUAAGUCAUCUUUUGCAAAGGGAUCAAAUACUUAUUUCACUCAUUAUAAUGCACAUCAAUCUCUGACUUUUGUCUUCUGGGUUUCUGGGGGUUUUCCUGCUGUUAUUCUGUCUCUCACAGCUACAGUAAACCUACCAUUAAAAUUAUGGACUGGUCAUUUCUUUCUCAGAGGGCAAACGGGCAAAUUUAGCAGGAGAUCAAAUACUUUCCCGCUCACUGUAUGGUCCUGACAUGUGUCUCCCAGAAGUUUGCCUAACCCUGUCCUAAACAGUGCCACAAAACUUACCUUACAUCAUAGUAGAACCGCCUCCUAACUUCUGGUACUUUUGGGGGGGCAAUGACUAGCAGUGACAGAAUACAAAGUUGCCCCUUAACACAUCAGGACCACAUGGGCAGCAAUGGAAAAUGUAGAAGGAUGCCGGAAAGAGGGAAAGAUAAAGGCCAUGCCAAAUGGCUGUGGUUUGAUGAAGGUGGCAUGUACAUCAGCUCAAAGGCUGGCCUUUAUAUGCCACACCGUUCACCUGUUCAGUGGCCCCGUGGCCUCCGUUGAGUUACCUGAGCCACAUCUCCACUGUAGGGCCUUUGCAGAGCCACUGCUUCCUUCAGCCUUUGGCCGGAAUCCUCUCCCACUAAAGCCAAGAGUUGCAAGUGACACCACUACCCUCUUUGACAUCACACAAUGACUUGCCAUUGUGUGGCAAUGAGGCUAUUGUGAUGUGGUGGCUUUGCCUGAGACACAGAGAGGGAGGGAGGAGAGCUGUGAUUGUGAGGCAACCCUUAGCUUCCCCACUCAAAGCUCACCUUUGAAAAUUCCCCCCUCUGCCUACAUUUCAGGCCAAGUCUCCUCUUCCAAUUAUCUUUCUUCCCAAAUAUUAUUUCAGCGCAUACCCCAGAUUUCAUGAUGUGACUCCAAAAGCUAUUUUCCAUCUUGCCUAUUACCUGUAACUCAUGGGUAGGCAAACCAAGGCCUUGGGGCCAGAUCCGGCCCAAUCGCCUUCAAUAUUAAUAAUAAUAAUAAUAAUAAUAAUAAUAAUAUUUUUAUACCCUGCCCAUCUGGCUGAGUUUCCCCAGCCACUCUGGGCGGCUUCCAAUCAAGUGUUAAAAACAAUACAGUAUUAAAUAUUAAAAACUUCCCUAAACAGGGCUGCCUUCAGAUGUCUUUUAAAGAUAAGAUAGCUGCUUAUUUCCUUCACAUCUGAAGGGAGGGCGUUCCACAGGGCGGGCGCCACUACUGAGAAGGCCCUCUGUCUGGUUCCCUGUAACCUCACUUCUUGCAAUGAGGGAACUGCCAGAAGGCCCUAGGCACUGGAUCUCAGGCUGAAUGAUGGGGGACCCGUGGACGGUCCGGGAAUCAGCGUGUUUUUACAUGAGUAGAAUGUAUGCUUUUAUUUAAAAUGCAUCUCUGGGUUAUCCGUGGGGCAAAGGAAUUCAUUCACCCCCCCUCCAAUUUAGUCUGCCCCCCCCCCAAGGUCUGAAGGACAGUGGACAGGUUUGUUGACCCCUGCUGUAACUUGUGUCUCUUCUAUCACAGAGUGGAACUCCCCAGUUGCGUGUGUAUGUGUGGAGCAAGGCUACCACACGAUGAAGUACUGGCCCACAGACUUGGAUGGCUUUCAAAGUGGGUUAGAAAAAUUCAUGUUGGGAAUUACCAAUGGGAAGCUGGCUUAUGUGAGAGCAGGAUGCUGCACUAGAUGGGCCAUUGGCCUGAUCCAACAGGUCUCUUCUUAGGUUGGUGGAAAUGAGGACUCCUGAGAUUGAAUUGGACUGGGAAUGCCUGAUUUCAUGUUCCUCCUUGGGGGCUUCCCAAAGGCAUCUUCUUGAUCAUUGUGAGUACUCAAAAUGUGCUUAUAAAUCUCUGAAAGUCACAAACUGUUUCAUAGAAUUCUUCUUAAAGUUAUGACCACUGCUCCAUAAAUAUUGUUGUACAAUUCCAUUCACCAUAUAGAUGGGUUUAUGAAGCAUUUCUGUAUCCUUCUGCUGUGCUGAAGAAGAAUUCUACGAAACAGUGGGUAUAUGCGG